CUAGCCUCCAAGACAGCCCCGCCGCCAGAACAGCCUCUCCUCCAGGACCGGCCAGCCUACGAGAGAGCCCCGCCUACGGUACAACCCGCCUCCGGGACCGCAGGACUCCACCUCCGAGACAGCUCAGUCCCCAGGACAGUCCCGCCUCCGAGACGGCCCCGCCUCCAGGACGGCCCCUACCUCCGAGACCGCCCCGCCUCCGGGACCGCCCCGCCCCGCCUCGCCUCCGACACGUCCCCCGGGCGCCACUGCAGAGCCUGUCCGUCAGUCCCUAGGUAUCCGCACUGCUCAGGGGAGGAUUCCCUGGGAGCACCCACCAGCUGAGAUCUGCACAUCAGCCACAAUCCUCUCAGGACGGCGGAAAGGGAAGGGCUCAGCCGCCAGCCUGGCCACAGCCUGCAUCAUCUCAUCCCAGAGGCGGAGCACAGGCUCGGGGUCCUUCAGGGCCUGAAGGAGGUAGAGCCCGGUACUCACCCAGCAAUCAUUGUUGCCUGACAAAAGUCACAGAGAAGGCUCAGUUCUUCCUUCCUAUGUAAAGGAACGGAAUGUUUAGUCUGAAAGCUUAGAAGGAAGAUGAGGUGCAGCAUGAAGACAAAAGCAAAAUCGGAAAGCUAAAACAGUAAGAAAGGAG
This 631-nucleotide long non-coding RNA is filed under the name Homo sapiens (human). Its description in RNAcentral is "PREDICTED lncRNA (TCONS_00247550)". The record is from RNAcentral. Lineage: Eukaryota; Metazoa; Chordata; Mammalia; Primates; Hominidae.